Molecule: long non-coding RNA, 1247 nt
Organism: Corvus hawaiiensis (hawaiian crow)
Lineage: Eukaryota; Metazoa; Chordata; Aves; Passeriformes; Corvidae
Exons: 3
Source: RefSeq, a predicted model, not a curated record
GACAUGCUUGGAGAGGAGACCUUGACAGAGGAGGAAGGGAGACAUCUCUUGUGAGAGAUGCUCAGCCAGCCCUGCUGGACCUGCAGGCUCUCCUACAGCCAGGCAGCCGAGCCAGGAGAGCUCUUGCACUUUCUGGACUGUUUUUUUGGCCUUUUGUGGCUGCUGUCUGUGGAGUUGGUGAGAGCAGAAAUGUUCUCCUGGGACAGGGCAAAGCCUGGUGCUGACUGAGGUUCCUGGACAGCCAGAUAGAUCCUGCUGCCUAUCAACCCCAUUACCCAAACCCCAGUAAACUCAGGGUUUUCAGCUUCCCGCAGCUCUCCCCAGACAGGAGACUCGCACACAGAUGUUUGCCAGCUGUGUUAAAGCACCACAGCUCCUGGGUUUAACUGCAAGGCUGUGGAAGUGUCUGCUGCUGGUGCCUGCUGGGCUUUCGCCUUCUGUUUUCUGCGGAUUCGACUUCCUCGGACUGGAGCCGUCCGUACCAGGGAGGCUCUGAAUUCUCAGGUGUGGAAGAUGCUGCAGUCUGGAGGGACAAGGAGGGCAAACGCAGGAGGAGAGCGAAGCUAAGGGACAGCAGAUCGGUGAUGAAGCCAGGACGUGACCCUGAGCUGUGUCUCUGCUUCCAGCUGCCUGCUCUGGCCCAGCUGCCGGCGUGGGAGUCUCCUGCUCACGCCUUGGAGCUGAGCUCCCUGAGGACCCCGAGGGCUCCGUACCCCAGAGUCGCACCCAGGGCUCAGGCAGAGCAGCCGGGGGAGCAGACCCCAGCCCCGGUUUGGGAGCCUGGUCCCGCUGCCAGCGCUGGAGGGGGAGCGGGCGGUGCUUCCAGGCAGCCGCCCCCACAUCCCCGCCCAUCCAGGCAGCGCUGUUGGAUUUCCCCGAGCAGCCUGAGAGCCCCCAGUGCCCAGAGCGCCCGUUCUGCGCCAGGGUCCCGCUGUCUGUGAUGUGCCAGACGUGGCCGAGAUGUCCGAGGAGCCGGGCAGGCUCUUAUCAGCCGCUCGCACUGUCUCAGAACCCUUCUGCUGAGCGCCUUUUGUCCCCUAAUAAACUGAUAAACCCCCGUAAUCCGCUGGUGGCUGAUGGCAGGGCAGCCCGCGGUCCUCUGCCAGCACAGAUAAGGCAGCUCCGUGCCAGCAGGGAUCCGCCAGCAGCCGGGAAAGGCGGGAUGGGGCUGAUCCAGCCGUCCCUGGCUUGCGCUGGGAGAGGGGAUGGGAUUGGUGACAGAGCGGUGAGGGUGGACUUGUCCAGCC